UACGGAGGGGGCUAGCGUUGUUCGGAAUUACUGGGCGUAAAGCGCACGUAGGCGGACCGGAAAGUCAGAGGUGAAAUCCCAGGGCUCAACCUUGGAACUGCCUUUGAAACUAUCGGUCUGGAGUGCGAGAGAGGUGAGUGGAAUUCCGAGUGUAGAGGUGAAAUGCGUAGAUAUUCGGAGGAACACCAGUGGCGAAGGCGGCUCACUGGAUCGAUACUGACGCUGAGGUGCGAAAGCGUGGGGAGCAAACAGG
Molecule: ribosomal RNA, 253 nt
Filed under: uncultured bacterium
Lineage: Bacteria
Description: partial 16S ribosomal RNA
Rfam family: Bacterial small subunit ribosomal RNA
Source: RNAcentral